GCACGCUUAUGCCGUUGAAUAUAUUAGCAUGGAAUAAUAAGAUAUGACUUCGGUACUAUAUUGUGGGUUUGCGCACCAAAGUAUUGAUAAAUAUGGACAGUUGGGGGUAUACGUAUACCGCAGUCACAGGUGAAAUUCUUGGAUUUCCGGAAGACAAACUACUGCGAAAGCAUUUACCACGGAUGUGUUCAUUAUUCACGAACGAAAGUGAGGGGAUCUAAAAUAAUUACAUACCAUCUCAUUCUUAUCCACAAACUAUGCCGACUCGGGAUAGGCGGUCAUUAUUUUUGACCCCGUCAGCACCGUAUGUGAAAACAAAUUCUUUGUGUUCCGGGGGGAGUAUUGUCGCCAGGCUGAUACUUA
Molecule: ribosomal RNA, 363 nt
Filed under: uncultured eukaryote
Lineage: Eukaryota
Description: bacterial SSU rRNA
Rfam family: Eukaryotic small subunit ribosomal RNA
Source: RNAcentral